UUUUAGUGCAUCGAUCCACUACACACCACGUAUCCAACAACCUCUCGUCGACCGGCAGCGCUAUCCUUCCCAUCUAUAAUAUCAACUGUGCCGCUGCUCUCCCCAAACCAACGAGUCUGGAAAACCAUUAAAAUUCAAACGCCACAGAACCUUAGGUAGCAACCAAAGCCAAGGUGUUCAAAAAAAAAAAAAGCCAAGGUGUUCGGAAAAAAAAAAAAAACAAACCAAAAGCCAAGGUGCUGUUGGAAUCCAUUACAGAAACCCAAAUUAAUGGGAUAUGAAAACGGGAAAAUAUUGCGAGUGUUUCUGCCGUACAAAAUAUUGUGGUUGGUUUUAAAGUAAAAUGCAUUUUAUUCCUGGCUCCAUAGACCAAAUGGGUUAUGCCAUGAGUAGAUUGGAGAUUGAUUCUGAAAAUUGUGAUGGAGGUAAGACCAGAAAUGAAAUCAGUAAUGGCCAGAGAUCCAACAAAUCAUUGAACAAUUUAGAUCAUGAAAUUUCCCUGAUCACGAAAUUAAAAUCAAGACCUCAUGAACGCCUGGCUCAAGUGACACCUGGGAAACGGGAGUUUCCUGUUUCCACAAUUAAGAUGUUGGCGGGUCGGGAAAGUAAUUAUUCAGGAAGGGGGAGGUUUUCUGCGGCUGAUCGUUGUCAUAUGCUUGGCAGAUAUUUACCAGUCAAUGGUCCUUGGCUUAUUGACCAGAUGACUAGCCGGGCCUAUGUCUCACAAUUCUCAGCUGAUGGUUCUCUGUUUGUAGCUGGCUUUCAGGUGCUCUAUUUAUAGCUUUGUAUUGGGAUAGGAUUUAGGAAAUUCACAAUUUAUUAAGGAAAGGGAGUUAAAUAGUAUUUUCUGUGAAUUUUACUAAUUUUUUUUGGAACAAACAUUCAUUCCAGGGAAGCCAUAUUAGAAUAUAUAAUGUUGAGAGGGGGUGGAAAGUUCAGAAAAACAUUCUUGCCAAAAGUUUGCGUUGGACGGUUACUGAUACAUCUCUGUCAUCAGAUCAGCGCCAUCUUGUGAGUUUGUGUAUCUGGUCAUCUUCCGAAUGGCCUGGAGCUUGCAUAUCAAUAUUCUUUGUAUGUGUUAAUGAACAUUUGAUUUGCUGAUGCACUGUUGCAGGUCUAUGCUAGCAUGUCACCUAUUGUCCAUAUCGUUGAUGUUGGGUCUGCAGCUACAGAAUCACUCGCAAACAUCACGGUAAGCGUUAUUUUUCAUAGUCAAUACAUGUAGAUUUAGUUAAUGGAAUAAUACACAUAACACUGUUGCCUGCUUAGUAUAACCAUCUUGUCUUCUAUAGGCAUUGCAGUGUAAAUUUCACCAUCUGAUUGAUACUAUUUCUUUGUAGUAUCAAAAUUGAAACUCUUUCCUGAUCUACAACGACAAGUCACAAUACAGCCUGUUUGACUGAGUCAUUGGAGGACUUCAUAUGCAUUGAGGAGGAUGUAUAGUAAUGUAAAUGAAAAUGAUGGAACAGAUUUGAUGCAUUUGCGUGCAUAAAUAAUUAGGAUUGGAGUAUUUAGUCGGGAAAUCAAUUCUUCUGAUUUUAAGAUCCUAACCUUUUCCCAAUCUCAUUGUUACACUUUCAUGGCAUAGAAAAACUACAGGAACUAGAUUUUUUUUGUCAUGAAACCAUCUCUUUUGUAAAUAUUGGUUGUUCUCCAGUUAACAUUAGAUACUUGAGAUUUCAGCCAUCCCAAGUGGGGUGUGGAGGCACUGUUGAUUCCUUUAUGCCUUGAAGUACAAGUCAUAACCAAAUGACAGUGAAUCCUCACUAUUUUGAUGCAUAAUCCAAGGAUUUGUUAUUUCUGAUUGAUCUUAUUUGUUCAGAGUUUUUUUUUUACUUUAAUAAUUGAUUCAUAUUUGGAGCCCAUAUGUUUUUUUAGGAGAUUCAUGACGGAUUGGACUUUUCUGCUGAUGGUGAUGGGGGCUAUUCUUUUGGGAUCUUCUCUGUGAAAUUUUCUACUGAUGGACGUGAACUUGUUGCAGGAAGUAGUGAUGAUUCAAUUUAUGUAUAUGACAUUGAACAAAAUAAGCUCUCACUUCAAAUUCAUGCGCAUGCGGUAUGUUCCCAGUCGUGAUAAGCACCUUCUGAAUAUCAUCCCCUAUGUGAUUUGCAUAACGUCGGCUUGGUUAUUUAUGCCUUGGACAUUGCCAACAUACAUUAAUUCCUGCAACUUUUGUGCAUUUUUUAACCUUUUUUGUUACUAACCGAGAAUAUAAAAUGUUUAGUCUUUAACCUAUCUGAUAUACAAUCGGUCUUUGUUAUCUGAACUGAUAAAGGAGCAGGUGUAUCUGGAUAGGCCUUAGGUUACUCUUGCCAAAAUGACAAAAUAAUUGAGAAGCAAAGAGCCAAUAACAUAUGAUUGCUUGUGUAGUAUUUCAAGUUUAUCACAAAGUCAAGUUUUCCUGGUCAAAUUUGAGCUUUCUUUCUUUUCAAGUUGAAAUAUGGACUUGCAAGGUUCUAAAUUAUUUUUUUUUAAAUGCUGCAGUCUGAUGUUAACACUGUAUGUUUUGCUGAUGAAAGUGGCCAUCUUAUCUAUUCUGGAAGUGAUGAUAAUCUUUGUAAGGUGUGGGAUAGGCGUUGCUUUAUUGCUAGAGGAAAUCCAGCAGGAGUCCUAGUGGGACACCUAGAAGGCAUUACAUUUCUUGACAGUCGUGGAGAUGGUCGUUAUUUCAUCUCUAAUGGCAAAGAUCAGACAAUCAAACUUUGGGAUAUCCGGAAAAUGGCUUCUAAUGCUCCUUGCGACUUAGCGCUAAGGAACUAUGAAUGGGAUUACAGAUGGAUGGACUAUCCACCACAGGCAAAAGAUUUGAAACAUCCAGGUGAUCAAUCAGUGGCUACAUAUAAAGGUCAUUCAGUCUUGCGUACUCUUAUUCGCUGCUACUUUUCCCCCACACAUAGCACUGGCCAAAAGUAUAUAUACACUGGCUCUCAUGAUUCUCACGUUUAUAUAUAUGACUUGGUAAGUAAUCAAAUCUACUGUUGCUUUUGCUUCUCUCUGCUUGCUUUUAUCCCAGUUCAUGAUAGCAAACUGAAUAUGUUGCUUUAUGAUGAGUCUUGGUGAUAAUGCAAAACUCACAAAGUAUGUUUUCCCUAAUUAAAAGACAGAAAUCACCAGUUAGUGAGACUCAUGGUUGCAGAAGUGUGAAACUCGUGUGUUUUGUUGACGAUAGUACUGUUAUAAAGAAGAGGUGACCUCAUUGGGUGAAGAUACAAUCCAUGCGUGCUAUAUUCUGCAAAAUGGUCAUCUAGUUAAAGUAGGACCUUUAUUUAUGCCCACCAAAAUGUUUAUCUGAUGUUAUCGCAUGAAUAUACCUAACCACAAGGCCUGUAUGCUUAUUCUUGACAUUUCGGAGCCCAUUCCUGUAUGAGAAGUAACUUGAAUUCUAUGUAGGUUACUGGAGAGCAAGUUGCAGUUCUCAAACACCAUGAAUCACCUGUCAGAGAUUGUAGUUGGCACCCGGAUUAUCCAAUGCUUGUAAGCUCUUCUUGGGACGGGGAUGUUGUGAAAUGGGAAUUUCCUAUGAAUGGAGAAGCUCCAACACCUGCAACCAAGAAGAGGAUUCGGAGGCGACAAUUUUAUUGAAAGAAGUUGGUGAUACAUGCAAAUGCAAUCUCCUUGAUAUUAUGAAGUAAAUAUAUGUUGUUUUCGCCACACACAUAUAUUAUGUAAUUAGCCUGUAAUGUGAAAUCAUUGCUUUAUACUAUACGUCCAUAAGGUUUGAGUUGUACAUGGAUAACCCCCCAAUGAGGAGAUUUUAUGUACCAAUAAAAGAUAUCGGUGAAUUGAAAUCUUAACCACCGG
This 3801-nucleotide unclassified non-coding RNA is filed under the name Hevea brasiliensis (rubber tree). Lineage: Eukaryota; Viridiplantae; Streptophyta; Magnoliopsida; Malpighiales; Euphorbiaceae. The record is from RNAcentral.